Molecule: ribosomal RNA, 119 nt
Filed under: Illex illecebrosus
Lineage: Eukaryota; Metazoa; Mollusca; Cephalopoda; Oegopsida; Ommastrephidae
Source: RNAcentral
GCUUACGGCCAUAUCACGCUGAAUACACCGGUUCUCGUCCGAUCACCGAAGUUAAGCAACGUAGAGCCUAGUCAGUACUUGGAUGGGUGACCGCCUGGGAAUACUAGGUGCUGUAAGCA